GUAACACUCAUCCAUUUGAUAGCAAAGAAAAAGAGGAAUACAAACCACACAGUAUUUCCUUUACACAGUCUCUACAACAGUCUUCCAAGUUCAGCAGCUAUAGUCGCUGAUGUAAAAAACUACCACCUGAUGCAGUGCUGACAGA
This is a long non-coding RNA of Phyllostomus discolor (pale spear-nosed bat), 145 nucleotides long. RefSeq lists it as uncharacterized. Lineage: Eukaryota; Metazoa; Chordata; Mammalia; Chiroptera; Phyllostomidae. The transcript has 3 exons. The record is from RefSeq and is a predicted model, not a curated record.